This 997-nucleotide ribosomal RNA is filed under the name uncultured bacterium. RNAcentral describes it as "bacterial SSU rRNA". It matches the Rfam family "Bacterial small subunit ribosomal RNA", at positions 356 to 1376 of the family's 1533-position model. The record is from RNAcentral.
GGGGAAUAUUGCACAAUGGGGGAAACCCUGAUGCAGCGACGCCGCGUGAGCGAAGAAGUAUUUCGGUAUGUAAAGCUCUAUCAGCAGGGAAGAAGAAAUGACGGUACCUGACUAUGAAGCACCGGCUAAAUACGUGCCAGCAGCCGCGGUAAUACGUAUGGUGCAAGCGUUAUCCGGAUUUACUGGGUGUAAAGGGAGCGCAGGCGGUACGGCAAGUCAGCUGUGAAAACUACGGGCUUAACCCGUAGACUGCAGUUGAAACUGUUCAUCUUGAGUGAAGUAGAGGUUGGCGGAAUUCCGAGUGUAGCGGUGAAAUGCGUAGAUAUUCGGAGGAACACCGGUGGCGAAGGCGGCCAACUGGGCUUUAACUGACGCUGAGGCUCGAAAGUGUGGGGAGCAAACAGGAUUAGAUACCCUGGUAGUCCACACUGUAAACGAUGAUUGCUAGGUGUGGGGGGUCUGACCCCUUCCGUGCCGGAGCUAACACAAUAAGUAAUCCACCUGGGGAGUACGACCGCAAGGUUGAAACUCAAAGGAAUUGACGGGGGCCCGCACAAGCAGUGGAGUAUGUGGUUUAAUUCGACGCAACGCGAAGAACCUUACCAAGUCUUGACAUCCCUUGACAGGCAUAGAAAUAUGUUUUCUCUUCGGAGCAAGGAGACAGGUGGUGCAUGGUUGUCGUCAGCUCGUGUCGUGAGAUGUUGGGUUAAGUCCCGCAACGAGCGCAACCCUUAUGGUCAGUUACUACGCAAGAGGACUCUGGCCAGACUGCCGUUGACAAAACGGAGGAAGGUGGGGAUGACGUCAAAUCAUCAUGCCCUUUAUGACUUGGGCUACACACGUACUACAAUGGCGUUAAACAAAGAGAAGCGAGACCGCGAGGUGGAGCAAAACUCAGAAACAACGUCCCAGUUCGGACUGCAGGCUGCAACUCGCCUGCACGAAGUCGGAAUUGCUAGUAAUCGUGGAUCAGCAUGCCACGGUGAAUACGUUCCCG